AAGCCUCCUCCCCCACAUGCACCUCAUAGGUUGAUUUCUACUACUAAGAACAAUUCUGCACCUGAAUUUCAAUUUGAUAAUACAAAUGAAUCUGUCCAUGAAUCUACAUCUGAACCUACACCAAGGUUACAAUCUGAUGAAGAAAGGGAAGAAAAUGUGGGUAUUGAGAUGCAAACUGAACAAUCAAAGCAUGUAUCACGUAAAAGAUCAUGGCUUGUUGAUGUCAUUGGUAAGCUUGAAUCAAUACAUUGCAAACUCACAUUGUAUUUGUUUUUUAUGUUCGUCCUCUUAAACUAACAAUAAUUUUGACAGAUAGUGAAGGCAAAAAGGUUAGGAAACAAUUAAC
This 346-nucleotide long non-coding RNA is filed under the name Phaseolus vulgaris (common bean). RNAcentral's name for it is "long non-coding RNA (PVUL_LNC003827)". Lineage: Eukaryota; Viridiplantae; Streptophyta; Magnoliopsida; Fabales; Fabaceae. The record is from RNAcentral.